RNAcentral lists this long non-coding RNA (4464 nucleotides) under Marmota monax (woodchuck). Lineage: Eukaryota; Metazoa; Chordata; Mammalia; Rodentia; Sciuridae. The record is from RNAcentral.
AGCCCUCUUUAUCCAAGGAUUCUGCAUCUGUAAAUUUAACGAAACAUAAACACAAAAUAUUUGGAAAAAAUUGCAUCUGUACUUUGUACACUCAUACCUACAGUAUAUACAGAUGUACGUGCAGACUUGUUUCUUGUCAUUACUCUCUAGAGGAGAACAACUAUUUAUGUAGCAUGUACAUUCUAUUGGGUGUUAUUAUUAUUAUAUUUGGUACCAGGGAUUGAGCCCAGGGGCACUCAACCACUGAACCACAUCCCUAGGCUUUUUUGUAUUUUAUUUAGAGACAGGGUCUCACUGAAUUGCUUACUUAGGGCCUUGAUAAGUUGCUGAGGCUUUGAACUUGUGAUUCUUUUGCCUCAGCCUCCUGAACUGCUGGGAUUACAGAAGCCCCUUUGUGUGGGGAAGCCCUCAGUUAGUGCACCACCAUGUCCGGCCCUAUUGGGUAUUAUAAAUUUUCUACACAAAUAGUGCACCAUUUUGUAUAAGGGAUUUGAUUAACUUUAGAUCUUGGUAUCUAAGGGUAGACCUGGAUACCAACCCUGUAUAGAUAUGGUGUGUGUGUGUGUGUGUGUGUGUGUAUGCAUAGGUAUAUAUAGGGUUGACUAUAUUUUUCCAUUUAUAUCACCACUUCUUUCUUAAAGUAUUUUUUUCCCAAUUCAUUUUAGACUGGGGGUCUCAAUGCAAAUCUAAAGAGUCAGCGUCUCUGCAGGGUAUUUUGGAAGACAUAUCACCCAGUGACACACAGAUGGUAAGAUUCCUGGAUUAUCUCUAGCUCCCUUUUACAGCAAAGUUGAGGAAUCUAUGAACUGGAAAAACAGCACCAGAACCAGGGAGACAUUUGAGGCAGGGGCAUCUCCUCAAAGGGAAGCAGCAUCAGAGGGGAGAUAUGACUUUUGAAUUUGGGCAAAUCCCUGCUGUCAUUCAAUGUUCUUUCUAGAAGUUUCUCUCAAGUGCACAUUUCCAUCAGUGAGUCAGACAUUGAGUGUAUAAGAUGUGAUUACUUCUCUCUUUUUAAAAAAAUUUCAUUCUUUUUGGUAAUACAUGACAGGAGAAUGUGUUUUGACAUUAUACAUAUUAUACAUGGUAUGAUCUACUUCUCAACAAUGAUCAGGAAAAUGUGGCCAGGUGUAGAAGCCCCCUAAAAACCAUGAGCAGGAGAGAGCCCUUCGGUGGAGCAGACAAGAUACUUGGUUGAAAGAACUCAAGCCCUCUGAACCAGGCAUGUCUCGAAAAUGCUGAAAAUGUGCUCCCUACACGGAGGAUCCCCGGUUCUGUCUGGGGUGCUGGCAAACUCUUUGCUGUCACUCACCUCUUGCUGGGAGCAGCCUCCACCUAGAGAGAAGGGACCAGUGAGUUUAACCAGUGCAGGAGGGGGUUCUGGGGGACAUGUAACCGGGAUUUGAUGAGAGACCUGGCGAAGGAGAGGCCACUUUGAUUUUAAAGAAUGUUGGAAAGUCGUCAGGAUCCUUUGGAAUCCUUCCUGGAAGGUGCCCCUUUGUGUGGGGAAGCCCUCAGAACUGGCCUACACAUUACUGUGCAUAGGAAAUGCAGAGAGUCCGCUUGUUCCCCACUUGGGCUCUGAGUUCCUCCUUCCUCACACGACAGGCCUCCCCACCCCAAAGCCUGGGUUCCCAGUCUUGGGAGUUGGCAAGAGUUGGGGUUGGGUUGGGGUAGAGUGGAGCCCAGAGCCUGGCCUCGCACCUCAGUAUUGUGCACUGCCUGUAGGAUGGAAGGGGCUUCUGCUGCGUCAGAGCCCCAACCCAGCUGGGCCUGCUUGUCCCAGAGACAGUGAGGUACCCAGAAUCCCUCAAUCUGCACCCCGUCUCUUUGCCAUGGGUUAGUGUCUGCAUCAGGGUCAGAGAUGUCCAUCCCCAUGGACAGGGUGGGAUGGCCUGGGUUGUAGAGAACCAUGCUCUCUUCCUUUGAUGGGGAACCUUCUGGAGCACAGAGAAUCCUCCAUCCUGGGCAGCCUGGUGUGGGCUGCCGAGCAGCUGAAACCCUUGCUCUGCCUGGCUGUGACAGGUCCCGGUAGUCGACACCUUUCCCUCCCUGCACCCUCUUUGUCCCUGGUUUCUACUUAUUUUGGUUGAGAACAUCUUCCAGCGGCUGCCUGGGACAGGUACAUAGUUUUUGAAAACUUGAGACCCCAAAAUGCCUUAUUUGAGCUGCUGGAUUGAAGGGACCUCUCUGGCUGUGUCAUUGCAGUAAGCCCCAUUACAGAGGCUUCUGCAUGUCAUCAGAGUCCCCAUUCGUGCUUGUUGCAUGAAGAAAUGAGUGGACAGGUGCUAGGGAAAAACGGCCUGGGCUCCAUCACCACCUUGUCUGUGGUCAGUGGAUGGAGCUUGAGAGUGAAGGAGGGAGAGGGAACCCUGACAGCUGGGGGCUCCUCUCUAGGUUCUGUGGAUUUUGUCCUUUGAGUACAGAGUUCUAACAUCUCCCAUGGAUCUUUCUGCUUGGCCCAGCCCCACAAGAUCCCCAGUAUUGAGGGAUGGGAGGGGCUUCUGCUGCAUCAGAAUCCCAGGAAAUAGGCGGUUUCAGGAUGCUCUGAGAGGGCAGCGGAGGUCCACCCAGGGACACUGAGCAGUGCAUCCCUGGAGGUAUGCAGCCCAUAGGUGGCAGAGUGGCUUUGGAGCUGGGAGUCAAGCCCAGGCCUAACAGCAGGACCGCAGCCUUCUUCACAGCCUGAGGCCACACAACUGCCACUGGCUGAUGGUUCUGACCCUUUGACUGGUUCUUCUUGUCUCUUCUGGGCACCACCCAGCCUUCUCCCAGUCAUCUGGCAGCUCUGUGGCCAUGUCUCCUGGGGAAAAGUGAUUCUAUCCCUCCUGGGCAGGGAUAGAAUCCUGGGGGAGGGAAGAGCAGCUGGACCCUGGGCCCUGUCUUGUCUGCUCUAGCCUUUCUUCCUGUGGCCUUUCCUUCCACCCCAUCCCCUACCCCUUCCAAGACCUGGUACCUGUAGGAAUGUGUGGGUUCCAUGGUCUGAGGUUGGUGAAGAGUGCUUGGCUCAGGUCCCUGCGUUUCCUUACUGAAGCAGAGUGAGCAGAGGAGAGGGACACGGUAAGCCACAUCCUGAGCACUGCCCCGAGCAAAGGUCUUACUCCCACUUGCCCCUGCCUCACCACCUCUCUUCAGGUCUGUGCUACAAGGGCUUCCCACCUCCCAGCUGCCACCUCAUCCUGCCUGCUUUACUGACACAGUAUAACCCACCUCCAGUGCUUCACUGCUGUCACCCUGCCUAGGGCCACCAUCAGUUCUCCACUGAGGGACCACUCCCAACAGGCUCCUAGACCCUCCCUUGGACACUGAGACCAGAGGGGUCUCUUAGAAAUGCAAGUUAGACGGGACAUCUUUCUUGCUCCCCUUGAGGGAGCAACUGCCAGUAAAGAAGAGUUCAAAUCCUUUCUCCCACACAUUCUGUUUCGCCAUAACCAAAUACUAGGCACUGGGUACUUUGUUAAAAAAAAAGUUUUUUAUAGCUUACAGUUGAAGUGGCUGAAAGUCCAAAAUUGGGUGGUCCCAUCUGUUUGGCCUCUGGGGAGGGUCUUGUGGUAGAUGGUGUCAAGGGGGAGAUGUGUGCAAGUCGGGGAGAUCACAUGAUGAAACAGACAACCAGAGAGAGAUUCAGGGUACACUCUUGCUCUUUUAUGAUGGUCCAUUCUCUUGGGAACUAGCUGGGGACCCGUGAGAACUACAUUAAUCCCUUCCAGAGGCAUCACCCCAGCAACCUAAUUACCUUGCACUAAGCCCUACCUCUUAGAGGUCCCAACAUCACCACACCGAGGACUGAGCGCCCACCCAGGAAGCCUUGGGGGACAAACUGCAUCCAACCACAACACAUGUCAGGUCUUCCUUCCAGGAAUAACUGCUAACUGCCCUCAGGUCCCCUGCUCUCUGCCCCUCAACCUGUUGGCUGUUCACUGGAGCAUUCGCUAGAGCCCCUUCUGUUCUAGUGUUUUCCUCCCUGCAGGAGGCUGCUUCCCUGAGGGGGGUAGCUCUCUCCAUAUCAUUUUGGCAUGACAUGUUAUCACAGUGAUUAGCUUUGUAUUCAGAGUUAGGUGUAUCUUGACAAGGUAAAGGGGUGUCUACCUCUCUUGUCACACAUUCCCUGGGGCAGGGCCAACCACACAAGCUCAGUUAGGGUGAAUGGGUGUGAGCAGUUCCCCCUGGCUGUGUGACUAAUCUCUGACCCUGUCCCUCUGUCCAGGGACUGCAGGUGGCCUUGCAGAUUCAGAGGGUGGUGACGCCGGUGCCCACGCUGGGUCUCCCCAACCCAUGGGUGGCCAGGGCUUCUGGUGAGUGAGUGAUGUAUGGUACAUGUAGCUGCAGGGCCUCAGUGUUCUGUUUUGUCCAGGAGCUUGUGACCCAUUUCACCUCCAUUUCUUUUUUUUUUAAAAGAGAGAGAGAGAGAGAGAGAGACAGAGAGAGAGAGAGAGAAAUUUUAAUAUUUAUUUUUCAGUUUUCGGC